Molecule: ribosomal RNA, 484 nt
Filed under: uncultured bacterium
Lineage: Bacteria
Description: partial 16S ribosomal RNA
Rfam family: Bacterial small subunit ribosomal RNA
Source: RNAcentral
AUUGAAUGCUGGCGGCAGGCCUAACACAUGCAAGUCGAGCGGAUGAAGGGAGCUUGCUCAUGGAUUCAGCGGCGGACGGGUGAGUAAUGCCUAGGAAUCUGCCUGGUAGUGGGGGAUAACGUCCGGAAACGGGCGCUAAUACCGCAUACGUCCUGAGGGAGAAAGUGGGGGAUCUUCGGACCUCACGCUAUCAGAUGAGCCUAGGUCGGAUUAGCUAGUUGGUGGGGUAAAGGCCUACCAAGGCGACGAUCCGUAACUGGUCUGAGAGGAUGAUCAGUCACACUGGAACUGAGACACGGUCCAGACUCCUACGGGAGGCAGCAGUGGGGAAUAUUGGACAAUGGGCGAAAUCCUGAUCCAGCCAUGCUGCGUGUGUGAAGAAGGUCUUCGGAUUGUAAAGCACUUUAAGUUGGGGGGAAGGGCAGUAAGUUAAUACCUUGCUGUUUUGACGUUACCAACAGAAUAAGCACCGGCUAACUUCGUG